This 109-nucleotide small nucleolar RNA is filed under the name Thalictrum thalictroides. RNAcentral's name for it is "Plant small nucleolar RNA R71". It matches the Rfam family "Plant small nucleolar RNA R71". From Rfam's summary of the family: R71 is a member of the C/D box family of snoRNAs containing the C (UGAUGA) and D (CUGA) box motifs. Multiple nearly identical copies of this snoRNA have been identified in Arabidopsis, and it is thought to function as a 2'-O-ribose methylation guide for 18S ribosomal RNA. Lineage: Eukaryota; Viridiplantae; Streptophyta; Magnoliopsida; Ranunculales; Ranunculaceae. The record is from Rfam by way of RNAcentral.
AUUUGAUGAUGUGGACAUUGUAUUUGUAACUCCCCAAAUCUUUCCCAAGCUUCAAAGAAUUCUUCUGUAUAUGUUUUUUUCUAAAAGUUUGGAUCUUGUUUCUUAACUC